UAUCACAAAACACUGAAAUAAAACACACGGCACACGGUUUAGGCUCCUCGGUGAGGGUCAUUUCCAGCUCUUUUAAUGGCUAUUUUGACCAAUCUGCAGAUCUUGAUACAAAACAAUUAUUUCAAUAAUUAUAAUUCCCACUUUGCUGGCAGCUAAAUGCAACAGUUCCUCAUUUCUGCUUCACUGUUUCUUGGAUGCUUCAUUUGAAUGCCUGCAUUUCUUAAUAACACCCUCAUUUGCUAUUAAUCUGACAAUUCAAAUUAUUUGAAUGGCUUUAUUUAAUUCAUAAGACACUCCCUAUUUCCAUUCCACAUUUAAUAUUAAUUUCUUAGAUGAAAAUAAGGUCUGCAUGGAAUAGCUAAUGUUUAACUUUCAGUAUGCACUGAAAACUCACAUUAGGCAGAAUGUAUUAUAUAAAAUUGUUACUCCACACAAUGUUCUGGGAAUGGCAGGUAUCCUAAUGUCCGACAGAUUUUGUGCUAAUUUUGGUUUGCUUCUGAACCUUGCAUUAUGUGAGAAUAAUGACUGUAGGUAACCCAACCAAUGUCAAACCGAAAACCUUUCGAUUCCAAACAGAAAUUAUAGCUUUCUGGUGAAAGCUGUGUCUAUUAUUAAUGUGAACAAUUUGGCUAAUAAGAAUUAAUUCUAAGUCACCCAGUGCUUUCAACGGGAAUAAAAGCAGCAACGAAGGUGUCAGAAGGAAGCCAAAUACCAGACAUAGAUAGAUAGAUAGAUAGAUAGAUAGAUAGAUAGAUAGAUAGAUAGAUAGAUAGAUAGAUAGAUAAGCCCCCAAAAUGCUGAAUGCAGUUAUCCAGAGACACAGUCCACCUAGGAGGUGGUUUCUUAUUUUACAUUGGUCCUAAAUUCUUCACAACAUUCCUAUGUAUUAAUUUUUUUAAAUACUUAUGAGGUAACUACAAUCAUAUAUUUUUGUUCCUACAAUAACUGAACACAUUGUAAAUAUGUUUGACAUAACAAAGAAUGCAAUGCAAUGGAUCUAGGUUAAAAUUAAUUGUCUUAUAUUGCAUUUCACUUGCUUCUGUGUUUGGCUCUGGAAAUUAAAUAUUAAAUACUCAGUUCUGUAAGAUUUGGCCUUUACAUAUGAAUCUAUAUUUUACAUCUGAAGGACCGAUGGAAAAUUUGGCAUUAUUUUUCUAUUUCUGAAUUAUUGGAUAUAAAGGUUUUAUUUUUCCAAGAUAGAAACCUCUUUAUCUAAAAUUGGGCAUUAACCGAGAGCAAUGUUAUAUUCCUGAACAACAGUUUGCCAAUUAGCAUAUUAAUUCUUCACCCAAAACUACUGAAAAUCCGUACCAGAAAUAAAUUCUUUUACCAACAGCAUUUAAACAAAAUCAGAUAUAAUCUCUUAGGGGGAUCUAUAUCAGAUUGGUCUUAAUUGUUUUACACAUAAUGCACCUACUGAAAACUAAUCAAACAAUUAUAGAUACAUUAAUUUCUGAAAUGCAAGCCAUGCCAUGUGUGAAGCGUGCCCUCGAAGUAUCAAUCAAGCACAAUAUUUCCUAUUUUGCAUCAGCACAAUUCUGUCACUAAUUGUAUGCAUUCACUGUAUACAAAAUCUUUCAUUUUACCUACAAUUUUUAUAUUUUCAUCUCCUUUAUAUACUCAUAUAUAAACCAAGCCUUAGAAACUUUUUCCAUGGAAAUAUUUUUCCAUUUGCAUACAAUAUUUAAUACUUACAAGGCACAUUUACAUGACAUAUUUACAUGAAAUAGUUUGGCACACAGAACAUAGGCUUUAAAAUCCUUGAUUUUAAAAAAUGCAAUGUAAUGUGCUUUUUCUUUUUGUUUACUAACAAACUUGCAGAUCCUCUUGGAGAUAAUUCCCCUUUGCUGCGAUGAAUGCCCACUUCUUGCUGCUAAUAAGAAAAGGAGUGGACCAUUAAAUAACUACAUUUUAAGAAAGCUGUUGCAAUCUCAAUAUGCAAUACAUGGAAAUCACUUCCUACUUUGGCACAUCGGCCUUUUCUCUUUCAGAAUGCCUAAUAUUUAAUCUGCUGAAAUGUUGCUUAUUUUAUGAAUGCUGCCUGCUAUUUCUGCUGUCAGGAGGAAUUGUGCUUCAUUCUGAAUAUCUGGCAUCUCAACCCUUCACUACAUCUGAACACAUACUCCUUCCAUACCUGUUCUUUACAGAUUAACGCCUUUUAAAUUUAUUCGUGUGUUUUUGUAUUUGAUAUUAUUGUAUGUUGGUUUUAUAUCUGUAAGCCGCCCCGAGUCCCUCUGGGGAGAUGGUGGCGGGGUACAAAAAUAAAAUUAUUAUUAUUAUUAUUAACACUCUUACUAUGUCUUAUUAGCAGAGUUAUUCAAAAAGUAGGACACAUAUUUGCACUUGAUAGGGGAGAAGCAUUGAACAAAAAUAAAUUCCAAGUAUAAACUAAUUUAAAAGAUCAGGACUCCCCCCCCCCCCCCAAAAAAAUACAUAAAUACAUUUUAAGGGCUGCCUUUCCUGCUGGGCUCUGACCUUGGACUGUUUCCCCUCCCAGCCCUAAGCCCUGGGGACCAUCUCCCAAACCUUUCCCAAAACCCAGAGCAGUCUCCUCCACUCUCCAUCCAAUGAUGCUCUUUCCAUCCUUUUAACCCCCCCCCCCCCCCCACCACCACCACCAAAUUAAUAAAGUCGGGCAGCAUCGCCCCAUGUCCCAUGCUGCUUUUCCUCAGACUUCCUUUCUGGGAUGGUUCACCUGUGAAGUCUAGCUUCUUCCCCAAGGGCUUUUCUUUCCACAGAGACUCAAAGCAGCUUUGAGUCUCCUUGUGGAAAGAAAGAGUGGAGUAUAAGUAAGCAUAACAAUAACAACAACAACAACAACAACAACAACAACAGAACUUUCUGGAUUGGGAGGACCCGUCUUUGCCCCUGUGCCCUGUCCCCUUGGUAUAAUAAUAAUAAUAAUAAUAAUAAUAAUAAUAAUAAUAAUAAUAAUAAUAAUAAUAAUACAUCACACAGUCCUAGACACUUGGGAAGUGUUCGACUUGUGAUUUUGUGAUACGAAAUCCAGCAUAUCUACCUUGUUUGCUGUGUCAUAAUAAAAUAAUAAUAAUAAUAAUAUCCUCAGACUUUAAGAUCACAAGCGAGGUUGGUGGGGACAAGGGAGAGGGCCUUCUCAGUAGUGGCCUCCCAGUUCUGGAAUGCUCUCCCCAAGGAAAUUAAGACAAGUGUCCACCUUGUUAACUUUCAGGAAGGAGCUAAAAAUGUGGCUAUUUAAAAAAGCCUUUGAGAAUGGCUAGACCAUAUUGAAAACCAUCAGACAGACACAGGAAUGGCUGGUUAAAUGAUAUAUACUUGGAUUGUUUUUAUAGGACUAUUAGUUUAAAUUGCUUUGUUGUUUUGAAUCUUAGCUUCUAGAUUGGUUGUACAGGACAAAUAUUUAUUUAUGCAUUUACUUCAUUUCUAUCCCACCUUUCUCACCCAAAGAUCUCAAGGCGGAUUAGAGAUCUGGCAAAAAUUCAAUGCCAAUAAAAACAAACAGUAACAGUAAAACAUAAAAACAGUUAAAAACAAUAAAGAUUAAGCAUUAAUAUACACAAAACAUAUAAAGUGCAUAGUUCCAUUCAUCCAAAAACCUUGCACAUAAUCCUCAAUCCAGACCAUGUCGAAGCCAUAGAUACUUAUUCUUUAAAGGCUUGUGUGCAUAGCCAGGUCUUAGCUUUUAAACUGUUACUUAUUAAUCUAUCUUCGUGACCACAUCUCUUUUUAAUUAUGUAUUUAUUAUUUACUUAAAACAUUUAUACUCUGCCCUUCUCACCCAGAAGGGGACUCAGGGCAGAGCACAACAUAUAUAAGGCAAACAUUCCAUGCCGUAACAUAAAAUAAACCAGUCAUCUUCACAUUAAAACCAUUAUUUAAAACCAUCACAAGUCAGCUGUGAAAUUUCCUACUGCUGCCAUUAUUGCACUGCCCCAAAGGCUUGGUCCCACAGCCAGGUCUUGACCAUCUUUCUGAAGGACAGGAGGGAGGGGGCUCAUCUAAUCUUGUCAGGGAGGGAGUUCCAUAGCUGGGGGGCAAUUACUGAGAAGGCCCUGUCUCUCGUCCUCGCCAUUUGCGCCUGUGACAGUGGUGGGACCGAGAGCAGGGUCUCCCCGGAAGAUCUUAAUCUCCGUGGUGUUCAUAGAGGAAGAUACUUUUGGAUAGGUAAACUGGGAUGGGGCCAUUUAGGGCUUUAUAGGCCAAAGCCAGCACUUUGAAUUGAAUCUGAACUGGCGCGGACUCUGAGGUCCACUGGGGAGGCCCUCCUCUCAAUCCCACCGCCUUCACAAGUACGGUUGGUGGGGACGAGGGAGAGGGUCUUCAUGGUGGUGACCACCCGGCUCUGAAGUGCCCUCCCGAAGGAAAUUAGGCAAGCCCCCACCCUCCAAUGUUUUCAGUCCAAUAAAAACUUGGCUCUUUAACCAAGCUUUCCAAUAGGUAUAGAGCCCAAAAGGUUUAAAUUGUGGACCCAUUAGUUUUCACUGAAAGUACUUUAUAUGUCUGGUUGGUUGUUACUCAUUUUAUGUCUAUAAUUACCAUAACAUUUUAUCAAUGUCUUAGGGUUGAUUGAUUUUAUUGUGCUCUUGUUUUAUGUAUUGAUGAUGUAAAUUAUGUUCUUCUUGGAUAUUGAUGUAUCUGUAUUUAUUGCACCAUAUGUACUGUUACAUUACGAGUGCUUGUAAGCCGCCCGAGUCCCUUUUGCGAGAUGGUGACAGGGUAGAAAUAAAGUAUAUUAUUAUUAUUAUUAUUAAUGGUAUUUUAAAUUGCACUAAAUGAUAAUUUGGUUAUUGUUACUGUUGUUUAUCAUGGAUGCUCAUAAUUUUGUAUUAUUAUGUGUUGUAAGCCACCCCAAGUCCCUCCAGGGAGGGGGGUAUAAAUAAACAUUUAUUAUUAUUAUUA
Long non-coding RNA from Anolis carolinensis (green anole), 4878 nucleotides. RefSeq lists it as uncharacterized. The record is from RefSeq and is a predicted model, not a curated record. NCBI's taxonomy places the organism in Eukaryota, Metazoa, Chordata, Lepidosauria, Squamata, Anolidae. The transcript has 2 exons.